UGGGUUACUGUGAGAACAUAGUGUUAAUC
Molecule: non-coding RNA, 29 nt
Filed under: Rattus norvegicus (Norway rat)
Lineage: Eukaryota; Metazoa; Chordata; Mammalia; Rodentia; Muridae
Source: RNAcentral